CUACGGGAGGCACCAGUGGGGAAUAUUGGACAAUGGGCGCAAGCCUGAUCCAGCAAUGCCGCGUGAGUGAAGACGGCCUUAGGGUUGUAAAACUCUUUCGCUAGGGAAGAUAAUGACUGUACCUAGUAAAGAAGUCCCGGCUAACUCCGUGCCAGCAGCCGCGGUAAUACGGAGGGGACUAGCGUUGUUCGGAAUUACUGGGCGUAAAGAGUUCGUAGGCGGACUGACAAGUUAGAGGUGAAAUCCCAGGGCUCAACCCUGGAACUGCCUUUAAAACUGUCAGUCUAGAGACCGGAAGAGGUUAGGGGAAUACCUAGUGUAGAGGUGAAAUUCGUAGAUAUUAGGUGGAACACCAGUGGCGAAGGCGCCUAACUGGUCCGGUACUGACGCUGAGGAACGAAAGCGUGGGGAGCAAACAGGAUUAGAUACCCUUGUAGUC
RNAcentral lists this ribosomal RNA (439 nucleotides) under uncultured bacterium. RNAcentral describes it as "partial 16S ribosomal RNA". It matches the Rfam family "Bacterial small subunit ribosomal RNA", at positions 339 to 795 of the family's 1533-position model. The record is from RNAcentral.